UAUAAAAUGGAGCAUGAGUCAUUUUUGCACAUUCGUAAUCUAGCACCGCUAUCAUAACCCUAACGUUAUUGUGUUAAGUGUCGAUGUCAAGAACUCAAGGAUGAGGUUGGGUUUCAAAACACAACCCUAGCAUACCUUGCACUUGCACAUUUGUAACUAGCAUUUUCAAUGUGUUGAGAAUCGAGAGCUUGAGUUAAGUUUCCUAACACUUAACUGGUUAACCAUAAGACUUCUACAAAAUCUGAAUAUAUAUAUGCCUGACAUCAACACUCGUUUGCUUUUCAUUUGCUCGAUUUCUUCCUCCAUUUGUGUUUGCCUAUGCUAGAUUCCAUCAUUAAUUGGGUGAUUUCUUUUACCUUGUAAUUGUUAAUCAUCGUGGCAUUCUUCUUGUUGGAACGAAGUUGAAAGGUGUGAUACACUAAUACCGUGGUCAAUUGAUGUUCAUAUCAUUUUGGGCAAUUGUUAAUGGAUAGUACAUUUUCAACUCUAUUCAAUUCUCCAGGAAUGGUUUUCUUACAUUUGACUUUUUGGUGUUCCUGGUUUCUUUUUUAGAAUGGAUGAAAAAUUGUGGAGUAAGAUUGAAAAGAAAACAUAUAUUAGUAUAUAACAAUAGUUGACUAUGGAAAUAUUUAGAAUGAUCGGGAAAAGGGUUAUUAACCUUGUGUUAAUGAAUGUCCAUUAUACUUAUUAAAAAUUGCUGUGAAGAAUUUCCUUUUUUUCAUUUUCCUCUUUCUUUUUAUUGUACAAAUAUACAUAUGACUAGAAUAAAACUUGGUAGUUCCUUCGGUUUGCAGGAGCAUGCCUAGUUUACUUGCUUGAAGAAAAUAGGAAUGUAAAAUGUAAUUAUCAUCAUUAUAACACCUAAUCAUUUAUGAA
Non-coding RNA from Cajanus cajan (pigeon pea), 876 nucleotides. The record is from RefSeq and is a predicted model, not a curated record. NCBI's taxonomy places the organism in Eukaryota, Viridiplantae, Streptophyta, Magnoliopsida, Fabales, Fabaceae.